Molecule: ribosomal RNA, 603 nt
Filed under: uncultured archaeon
Lineage: Archaea
Description: bacterial SSU rRNA
Rfam family: Archaeal small subunit ribosomal RNA
Source: RNAcentral
UUCGCCCUUUUCCGGUUGAUCCUGCCGGACCUGACUGCUAUCGGAUUGAUACUAAGCCAUGCGAGUCAUUGUAGUAAUACAAGGCAGACGGCUCAGUAACGCGUAGUCAACCUAACCUAUGGACGGGAAUAACCUCGGGAAACUGAGUAUAAUGCCCGAUAGAACAUUAUGCCUGGAAUGGUUUAUGUUCCAAAUGAUUUAUCGCCGUAGGAUGGGACUGCGGCCUAUCAGUUUGUUGGUGAGGUAAUGGCCCACCAAGACUAUUACAGGUACGGGCUCUGAGAGGAGUAGCCCGGAGAUGGGUACUGAGACACGGACCCAGGCCCUAUGGGGCGCAGCAGGCGAGAAAACUUUGCAAUGUGCGAAAGCACGACAAGGUUAAUCCGAGUGGUUUCUGCUAAAGGAACCUUUUGUUAGUCCUAGAAACACUAACGAAUAAGGGGUGGGCAAGUUCUGGUGUCAGCCGCCGCGGUAAAACCAGCACCUCAAGUGGUCAGGAUGAUUAUUGGGCCUAAAGCAUCCGUAGCCGGCUCUGNUAGUUUUCGGUUAAAUCUGUACGCUCAACGUACAGGCUGCCGGGAAUACUGCAGAGCUAGGGAGUGG